This is a long non-coding RNA of Rosa rugosa (rugosa rose), 2008 nucleotides long. RefSeq lists it as uncharacterized. The record is from RefSeq and is a predicted model, not a curated record. The transcript has 2 exons. NCBI's taxonomy places the organism in Eukaryota, Viridiplantae, Streptophyta, Magnoliopsida, Rosales, Rosaceae.
AGCUACCUCUGUCUUUUCCCUGCUCGCACUCAUUUCUACCUCAUUUUAAAUUGAUUGUGCUGAAGUCAAUUUUGUUUAUUUAAGUUCUGUAAUUUGUUCAGUUAGUCUUGAUUUUUUAUUUUUUUGUUAGAGGAGUUAGUCUUGAUUUAGAUGACUCAUAAAAUAGACUAUUUUAGAAAAUGACCUGUGAUUACAUGUCUUUUUGCAUUUGCAUGGUCCCAGGAAUCAUAGGCGUCCAGUUGACUGCAAAAUUUUUACAGUUCCUCUUGGGGCCAAAAUUAGCAGAUCAAUUGAACACUGAGAAUGUCUUCUUUCUUUUUUUUUUUUGAAAGGGAAUGUCUUCUUUCUAAUUGGUUAGAAUACACACUCACCUCUGUUCUCAAACUUUCGCCUUUCUGAGCUGUUUCAGUAAAUCUUAUAGGCUUAUCUUACCCAAAGAUGGCAACUUUAGCAACAUAAUAUACCUUUCAGGACUGUAUAUCCCUGACGGCUUUACUUAAACAAAAGUUGUGAAUUGGAAGGAGAACGGUAGACUCAUAAUAACUGUAACCUUUUAUGGUUUUUAGUAUUAUCAGUUUUGUUAAUAAAAAGACAGAGAAGCUAAACACUUUAAAGCGAAUUUUAAAGAAGGCAACUCAUGAUCAGUACUAACUUCUGAGCCUUCAGUCCCUCGACCCCAUGUAAUCAAUUGUCUAUGGUACUGUUAAAUUUCUCUUUCAGAUUAUGCAACCAAUUUUCUUGCCCAAAUUCUCUGGUCACUUGGUUAAACUUUUUCACAGGCUAGUACUCUCAUACUGAGUCGAUGGAGCUGCAAGGAACUGAAUUCCAUGAACAAAGAAAAAGCAUCACUCGAAAAAUUGUAAGUAUUUUGGGCUGUUUCUAUCAAGCACAAGAUCUCCUAAGGAUACUACGAGACUUGAGUACCGAAGAAUUGAGGAAAGCGUUUCUCUCCUACUUUCCCAGUGGCCCUAGGAGAAUGAAGGAUCAAGCAAUAAAGCGCAAAUCAAGCUCACUGAUCUCAAAUUAAGGCAGUUGGCAUAUCAUAUCAUUUUGUAUGUGAUUUAUGCUUAUCUUGUGGAUCUAAACAGUUAUGCAAUCUUAUCGGUAUUUUUGGAAAUGUUUCAAAAUCUUAUCUGCAUUCAAAGGGGUUUGGAAUGCAUAUCAGUUAAGAGAUUUUCAUUGCAUAUAGUUAGUAAAGAUUGUUUGAGUUUUUGAUUUCGAGAAUUUGAUGUGUGUUGCAUAGUCUUCAUAAUUAAAACUGUUUUACAAAACUCUCUUUGAUUGUUCACGUUGCUUGCUCACUGCAUCCAUUACUUACAUAUCACUUGAGAUCAGUGAGACUCUGAGAGAAGAAGAAGUGGAAGACUUGUUCAGUAUCUUUAAUCAACAUAGAUUGAUCCAUACUGUGUGUAGAAUAGGUCUUUCAAAUUGUGUACAAGUUAGCAUUGUUGCUAGCGAAGUGGUUGUGUUGAAUACCACUACUUGUGAGUUGUACUUACCUGAAUUCAUAUUGGAUUUGAUCUUCGUGUUGGCUACGUUACAAGCCACGUAGUGAAGUUUCCUCAGUGGUGGGGUUUACACUGCAUCACCAAAUCCUUGUGUACUUUUGUACUUGUGAACUCUCUCUACUAAGCUGCUUAUAUUGCACACAAUCUUUCAUAGUUGUUCCAUCUGGUAUUUUCAAAAAUGAUGAAUAGUGAUAUUGUAAUGUUUGGUCCUUUUUUUGCCAUUUCUUUAUUGUUCCGUUUGGCCUUGACAUUAUGUAUUUUUGAAACCAAAAUUUAGUAGUUAGCUAUUGAAGGUUUUUCACUUAACUAAAAUAAUAUGGUAAUAUCUUGAACAUGCCUAUGAAAGUCAGGAUGUAUGUUUUGGAAGCCUAGUGAGUACUAAGACAACCAUAUUUAUUUGCAAAUGGAGGCUGAUAUAUAUAGUUAUCACGAAGUUGGAAUGAAUUUUUUUUUGUUUUAGUUACAUUAAAGUAAGAGGAAGGUUCUGCAGAGAGAAAGAA